CCUACGGGUGGCAGCAGUGAGGAAUAUUGGUCAAUGGGCGCAAGCCUGAACCAGCCAAGUAGCGUGCAGGAUGACGGCCCUACGGGUUGUAAACUGCUUUUAUAGGGGAAUAAAGCGCCUCACGUGUACGGUUUUGCAUGUACUGUAUGAAUAAGGACCGGCUAACUCCGUGCCAGCAGCCGCGGUAAUACGGAGGGUCCGUGCGUUAUCCGGAUUUAUUGGGUUUAAAGGGAGCGUAGGUGGGAUGUUAAGGGUGAUGUGAAAUGUCCGGGCUCAACCCGGGCCUUGCAGCGGAUACUGGCGUGCUUGAGUGCGGGGGAGGCAGGCGGAAUUCGUGGUGUAGCGGUGAAAUGCUUAGAUAUAACGAAGAACCCCGAUUGCGAAGGCAGCUUGCUGCAGCGUAACUGACGCUGAUGCUCGAAAGCGCGGGUAUCAAACAGGAUUAGAUACCCGAGUAGUC
This 460-nucleotide ribosomal RNA is filed under the name uncultured bacterium. Its description in RNAcentral is "partial 16S ribosomal RNA". It matches the Rfam family "Bacterial small subunit ribosomal RNA", at positions 338 to 795 of the family's 1533-position model. The record is from RNAcentral.